UACGUAGGGACCAAGCGUUGUUCGGAUUUACUGGGCGUAAAGGGCGCGUAGGCGGCUUAACAAGUCACUUGUGAAAUCUCCGGGCUUAACUCGGAACGGCCAAGUGAAACUGUCAAGCUAGAGUGCAGAAGGGGCAAUCGGAAUUCUUGGUGUAGCGGUGAAAUGCGUAGAUAUCAAGAGGAACACCUGAGGUGAAGACGGGUUGCUGGGCUGACACUGACGCUGAGGCGCGAAGCCAGGGAGCAAACGGG
RNAcentral lists this ribosomal RNA (251 nucleotides) under uncultured bacterium. RNAcentral describes it as "partial 16S ribosomal RNA". It matches the Rfam family "Bacterial small subunit ribosomal RNA", at positions 524 to 776 of the family's 1533-position model. The record is from RNAcentral.